RNAcentral lists this unclassified non-coding RNA (389 nucleotides) under Bombus terrestris (buff-tailed bumblebee). RNAcentral describes it as "misc RNA ENSBTSG00005034582.1". Lineage: Eukaryota; Metazoa; Arthropoda; Insecta; Hymenoptera; Apidae. The record is from RNAcentral.
CUUAAACAUCAUAAAAAAUUUAAUGAAUUUUAAAAGAAUAAGAAGCAAUCGAUAUGAUAUCUUAUGUCUACUAUAUUUUUUUUAGCGGCGGUAAAGUUGUUCUAAUGACAUAGCGUUUAAACAUCGAUUCGAUAUUAUCAUUAUCUCUGUUAUGUCAAUUGCAUACCUCGUUCAAAGUAUAUGGCUCUUCGUGGAGGUCGGUUGUUACAACAGAGACCAUUUCAUCUUCACUCAUACCAAGACUUUCCUGGACAUCGAUUAAUCUUUGUACACGUUCCCAAGGUUUGUUCCGUUUCUUUGCUAUCAUCUAUAAACAAACUCAGAUCUCUUAAAAUUUUUUAAGUAGAAAUAUCAGAAACUUUUUCACAAACUGAGAGAGAGAGAGAGAG